Molecule: small nucleolar RNA, 140 nt
Filed under: Mastacembelus armatus (zig-zag eel)
Lineage: Eukaryota; Metazoa; Chordata; Actinopteri; Synbranchiformes; Mastacembelidae
Description: Small nucleolar RNA SNORD10 (ENSMAMG00000000805.2)
Rfam family: Small nucleolar RNA SNORD10
Source: Rfam by way of RNAcentral
GUAUAGUGAUGAAACGCAUGCGUGUCAACUGACUCUGUAUACUCCUGGUGUGUUUCUGCUCUGGCUGGUGUUCUGCUGGCUUGAGUCCUGAACAUAGCAGUUAUCCAGAGGCAUGAUCAUAAAUCACUGCUUCUGAAUAC